RNAcentral lists this ribosomal RNA (367 nucleotides) under uncultured bacterium. RNAcentral describes it as "bacterial SSU rRNA". It matches the Rfam family "Bacterial small subunit ribosomal RNA", at positions 524 to 898 of the family's 1533-position model. The record is from RNAcentral.
UACGUAGGGGGCGAGCGUUAUCCGGAUUUAUUGGGCGUAAAGCGUGUGUAGGUGGUUUAUUAAGUAUAAAAUUAAAGCCCGAGGCUUAACCUCGGUUCGUUUUAUAAACUGGUAGACUUGAGUAUGGUAGAGGCAAAUGGAAUUUCUAGUGUAGCGGUAGAAUGCGUAGAUAUUAGAAGGAACACCAGUGGCGAAAGCGAUUUGCUGGGCCAUUACUGACACUGAGACACGAAAGCGUGGGGAGCAAAUAGGAUUAGAUACCCUAGUAGUCCACGCCGUAAACGAUGAGUACUAAGUGUUGGGGUUUCCCAGUGCUGAAGUUAACACAUUAAGUACUCCGCCUGAGUAGUACGGUCGCAAGGCUGAA